CGGCGGGCGGGGGGCAGCGGCGGCAGCAGCAGCAGCAGCGGGGGCCGCCACACCACGGCGGAGCCACGUCGGGGCGGGACGCCGCGGCGGCGGCGAAAAUCCCGGCGCUGCCCGGCUGCAGCGGGGGGCUGCAGUGGCCCUAGGGCUGGCAGGGGCAGCUCCGUACUCUCUCCUGCCACCGUGCGUGCGUGUCUGCGAGCGGCCGGCUCUCCUCCUGGCUCCUGCUGCUGAGUCCAGACCAACUUUCUCGCCCCCUCGCUCUGAGACGCGAGAGGUGCCUGUCGGUUGCUUUUAUACUGCCCUGCCUCCCUCCCCUGCUGUCCUCCCCCCUUCCCGCUCCCUCCCUUUUCCCUUCUCCCUCUCCGCAGCUUCUCCUGCAGCCCAGCAUCGACCCCCCCGCCCCGUUCCCCUCCUCCUUGUGCCACUUGCCCCUCUGCCAGCCCUGCUUUGUGGGACACCCUGCCCACCCGCACCCCAUCCCGCUGGCGGCUGCACCUUGCGGAGUGACUUCCAGCGCUGCUCGGUGGGGACAGAGCUGUCCUGGUGUCAUGUCACCUUCAGCUGGUCCAUGCAUCCUCCUCAGGCCACGGGGAUUUUACACUCCUCGCUGUUGUUUCCCUUCCUCUGAGUUGCUGACUGCGUAACUACAUUGGAAAAAGCUUUCUCUCUUGGAUGAGAGGCCUCCAAAUUUAAAAUUAAUGUGAAUUUGACAAUACGUGAAAAUGAGGGUUGGAUUAUUGCUUGCUGUAAAUCAGUAUCUUUGCAUCCAGUCUGACGGAGCCAAACGUCUUUCUGAGUGCUGAAGAUGAAGCUCGAUGUAAUGAGAACAAACAUAGCUCAAAUAAGCUUGAAACAUGAAUAAAGUCACCUAACAACAAA
Long non-coding RNA from Columba livia (rock pigeon), 879 nucleotides. RefSeq lists it as uncharacterized. The record is from RefSeq and is a predicted model, not a curated record. Lineage: Eukaryota; Metazoa; Chordata; Aves; Columbiformes; Columbidae. The transcript is spliced from 2 exons.